AACGAACGCCGGCGGCAUGCCUAACACAUGCAAGUCGAACGAAGGCUUCGGCCUUAGUGGCGCACGGGUGCGUAACGCGUGGGAAUCUGCCCUUAGGUUCGGAAUAACAGUUAGAAAUGACUGCUAAUACCGGAUGAUGACGUAAGUCCAAAGAUUUAUCGCCUGAGGAUGAGCCCGCGUAGGAUUAGCUAGUUGGUGUGGUAAAGGCGCACCAAGGCGACGAUCCUUAGCUGGUCUGAGAGGAUGAUCAGCCACACUGGGACUGAGACACGGCCCAGACUCCUACGGGAGGCAGCAGUGGGGAAUAUUGGACAAUGGGCGCAAGCCUGAUCCAGCAAUGCCGCGUGAGUGAUGAAGGCCUUAGGGUUGUAAAGCUCUUUUACCCGUGAUGAUAAUGACAGUAGCGGGAGAAUAAGCCCCGGCUAACUCCGUG
This 433-nucleotide ribosomal RNA is filed under the name uncultured bacterium. RNAcentral describes it as "partial 16S ribosomal RNA". It matches the Rfam family "Bacterial small subunit ribosomal RNA", at positions 29 to 507 of the family's 1533-position model. The record is from RNAcentral.